AGUGAACGCUGGCGGUAGGCCUAACACAUGCAAGUCGAACGGCAGCACAGUAAGAGCUUGCUCUUACGGGUGGCGAGUGGCGGACGGGUGAGGAAUACAUCGGAAUCUACUUUUUCGUGGGGGAUAACGUAGGGAAACUUACGCUAAUACCGCAUACGACCUACGGGUGAAAGCAGGGGAUCUUCGUACCUUGCGCGAUUGAAUGAGCCGAUGUCGGAUUAGCUAGUUGGCGGGGUAAAGGCCCACCAAGGCGACGAUCCGUAGCUGGUCUGAGAGGAUGAUCAGCCACACUGGAACUGAGACACGGUCCAGACUCCUACGGGAGGCAGCAGUGGGGAAUAUUGGGCAAUGGGCGCAAGCCUGAUCCAGCCAUACCGCGUGGGUGAAGAAGGCCUUCGGGUUGUAAAGCCCUUUUGUUGGGAAAGAAAAGCAGCAGGUUAAUACCCCGCUGUUCUGACGGUACCCAAAGAAUAAGCACCGGCUAACUUCGUG
This 492-nucleotide ribosomal RNA is filed under the name uncultured bacterium. RNAcentral describes it as "partial 16S ribosomal RNA". It matches the Rfam family "Bacterial small subunit ribosomal RNA", at positions 29 to 507 of the family's 1533-position model. The record is from RNAcentral.